RNAcentral lists this small RNA (639 nucleotides) under Pan troglodytes (chimpanzee). Its description in RNAcentral is "processed transcript". The record is from RNAcentral. Lineage: Eukaryota; Metazoa; Chordata; Mammalia; Primates; Hominidae.
AGGAAGAGAGAUGUAGAGGCAAGUUGCUUUUAACCAGGAUUGGAGUUUUGUCAGCUUUAUAAAAAGCUCAAUACUCAUGUGGCCUUAGUUGGUAUGGAAAUCUGGACUGACAAGGAUAAGAUAAAGAUAACCCCAAAUGCAAGCUUCACCUUGGAAAAUUUUUCUAAAUGGAGGGGGAGUGUUCUCUCAAGAAGAAAGCAUCAUGAUAUUGCUCAGUUAAUCACAGCAACAGAACUUGCUGGAACGACUGUGGGUCUUGCAUUUAUGUCUACAAUGUGUUCUCCUUAUCAUUCUGUUGGCAUUGUUCAGGACCACAGUGAUGAUCUUCUUAGAGUUGCAGGGACAAUGGCACAUGAAAUGGGCCACAACUUUGGAAUGUUUCAUGACGACUAUUCUUGCAAGUGUCCUUCUACAAUAUGUGUGAUGGACAAAGCACUGAGCUUCUAUAUACCCACAGACUUCAGUUCCUGCAGCCGUCUCAGCUAUGACAAGUUUUUUGAAGAUAAAUUAUCAAAUUGCCUCUUUAAUGCUCCAUUGCCUACAGAUAUCAUAUCCACUCCAAUUUGUGGGAACCAGUUGGUGGAAAUGGGAGAGGACUGUGAUUGUGGGACAUCUGAGGAAUGUACCAAUAUUUGCUGU